This is a long non-coding RNA of Cyprinus carpio carpio, 405 nucleotides long. NCBI's taxonomy places the organism in Eukaryota, Metazoa, Chordata, Actinopteri, Cypriniformes, Cyprinidae. The record is from Ensembl.
UUUUCCCGAUGCCACAGGGGUGGCGUUUGCACUGAUGGCUUGAGCCCGCCAUCGCUGCUUGCAGCUAUAUUUAUUUUUAUUUUUUUUUUAACCUUCCGGGGGUUUUUGGAGGCCUUAACAUACUCAAAAACUUGUGAAAAUUGGCACACACAUUGGAACCUGCGGCCAUCAGGACGCCGCAGAGGCUGGGACCCGGGCGUGGCACAGGGGCUCUACGGCGCCCCCUGGAACACAGUCAGAAAUCUUGAACCAUAGCUCACACAUACUUGCAUGUAUUUAUAUGAAACUCUGUACACUUAUAGAUCUCAUUGAGCCGAACAACUUUCGCGCUCUAUAGGCUCUACGGCGCCCCCUGGAACACAGUCAGAAAUCUUGAACCAUAGCUCACACAUACUUGCAUGUAUU